UCGUCCGAGAGUUUUAGAGGAGGUACGUUCGCGUGAAUUUUUUGCACUUUUUGUCUCGGGUGAGCGCUGUUUCGGAUUGUUCAGUUUCGGAUUCUGUGGGACGUUUGUUUGCUACUGCUUCUUUUAUAUUGGAUUUCUGCUGCUUCUUUUUGUUUAGAUUGGGUCUGCUGUUCGGUUUCGGAUUCUGUAGGGCAGAGAUUGUUCGGUUUCGGAUUCUGUGGGGCUUUUGCUGCUGCUUCUUUUAUAUUGGAUUUCUGCUGCUUCUUUUUGUUCGGAUUGGGUCUGCUGUUCGAUUUCGGAUUCUGUAGGGUGGAGAUUUUUCGGUUUUGGAUUCUGUGGGACGUUUGUUUGCUACUGCUUCUUUUAUAUUAGAUUGAGUCUGCUGCUUCUUUCUGUUUUUAUAUUGGAUUCGACUCAUCUCGGGUUGAAUGGAUUGGGUCUGAUUGGAUUUUAUAUUAGAUAGGGUUUGUUUUUAUAUUAGAUUGUUCGGUUUCGAAUUGGGUCUAUUUUAAGCCAAGUACCUAAUUGAUGCAUUUAGAUUGGCGAACUCGGAAUUGGCUGAAAUUUGGUCAGCUGUGUGGAAACGGGCCGCUGAUCAAUACAUAUGGCUAUGCCAUGAUGGACGUCAUUUUUUUGCGUUUCGGAGUUGUUUAGAUAGGUUUUCGAGCAGAAACACAUCGUGUUUCAUAGAUUUUUAGUCCAGUUUAAAUAUCGUGUGAAAGAUACAUGAUACACAUUGUGUUUCACAUGGAACUGCUUUCUAAUAUUCAUUAACAGAUUUUGGAACAGAGGGUUCUAGUUCUUGAUUGCCAAAUAUGCUCCCCUUUUAUUUAUAUCUAGGUGUGAAAAUAUCCUAGUUUGAUCAUGUCAUGUAAUAUGCUCUCCAUCAUUCAUUCUCCUGUUUUCUUCUUAGAUAAUAAUCACCAGAAAGUUCUUCACUUCACUAGCUUUUUGAAUGUUUUUGUAGGCAGAGGUAACAACUGUUAUUUGUGGCAAAAAAAGCUAAAGAAGCUCGUAGACAUUUCCGGACAACUUGCUAUUUAUCAAAGGCGAUAGCAAGUUUAUUUCGUUUUCUCAAGUUUAUCUCUUGCUCUCUGAAACAAAAUGGUAAGCUUCAUGAUGUACGUCAUUAUGUGUCCCUAAUACAUGUUCAUAUUUUUUAAGAUAUUUGUCUAACCUUCCUACUUGUCAGUAUAAACAUGGAGGUUACAUGCAUGGUGCAGUUUCACAAAGAAGAGCAGCCCCUUCCCCUUCCUCGUCCCCGUCCCCGUCCCUUUCCUCUUCCCCUGCCCUUUCAUGUUUCCCUCAACCACUACAUGCUGAUGGAUAAUAUGGACACAUUGGCCCUUCCUUCGACCCUCAAGAACAUGUUAGGGGACAACUUGGACACAUGCGAACUGAAUCUACUUUAGGUCCAUGUCCUUCAGUUCCAUCUCCUUCAGUUCCACCUUCUUCUUCAGUGUAACACUCGAAUGAUGAGGGAAAUACAGGUGAAGAAGAUAGCCGAUUCAUAAUAUGCCCAUAUGGAGAUUCGUAAGUACUUCAUUUUUUUAAGUAUAUGUAAUAUUUAGGGUUUUAGAUAUGGAUGUCAACUGAAUUGUCCAUGUUGCAAAUUAUCUGUAUGCUUCAUUAUUUCAUUGUCCAUAUUGUUCUUUCUAACCUGUUUGCAGAUUCAUGAAUGCUAAGUAUGUUGUGAGGCAACUUAAUAAAAUAGUCAAUAACUCUUGGAGGGAGCAGUAUAUUAGUUACAGCAACGCUCCAAAAGAAGUAAAUGAUUUGUGGUGGAAUGAGUUCAAGGUAAGUUUUGUUCUUCUAGGUGUUUCUAGUGGCCGUGUUAGGGAUCGGAUCAUACCCUCUUAUUAGUACUUUUAAUUGUCAGAAGUGGGAAGUCCCACAUCAAGUAGUAAUGGAUAUGAACUUUAGAAAAUCCAUUGCCGAAUUGUCUGGUGCAUGGUAAUGGAUAUGUGACCCUCAUAAUAACUUUCAGUUGUUUUUCUAUUGAUGCAGCGGAAGUUCAGGUGCGAUGAAACGGAAGAGGAUAAAGUUAAAAGAAUUUUUAAGAAGAAAGUCGGUGAUCACAUACGAAAUGUGAUGAAUAAAGCAAAGAUAAGUCAAGUAAAGCCAGAUUUUAUUACGGGUGACAAUUGGACAGAAAUUAAGAGAACUUGGGAAAUUGAAAGAAUAAGCAAAUGAGUGAACAGAAUAAGAUGAAUCGUGCUUCUAGUUCUUGUGAAGGGUCUGCCACAUAUGCUGGGGGCUCUAUCAACAUCGGGGAGCAUAGAAAAAGAAUGGAAAGUCUGUUAAACAUGUUGUAAGUUAAUUUAAUUCAAUUACUCAUUUAUGUUUAUAUUUUGUAGGCAGAUGAAUUGGGGACGGAACCGACAUAUACAGCUACAUUUGAACGCACAUUUCAAAAAGAUAAGACAUGGACUGGUGAUCGAGCAAAAGCUAUUAAUGUAUGUAAGGUUAUACUUGAAGGUAUGUAAGUUUAUGGAAACUAGAAUGAAAACCAUGAAUGCUUUUAAUAUUUAUGGUAGUUAUAUAUAUGAAGUUAUUUUAUUUUUAUCUAUAUUGUUAAUGUUGGAAAAAUAUGAUGAACUUUUAAUGAGUACUGCUAAUGGUAGUGGUGGUGAUGGUGUUGCUGCGUCUGAGCCAUUAGUUGACAGUAUUGCAUUAUGGGUGGAGGCAUCGGGUGGGAUGAAAAGAGGAAAAAUAUUUGGGAUGGGAUCCUUGUCAAGGGUAUACACAACGCAGGCUGCUGUGACUUCAUCCUCCAAUGCGGCUGUUUGAAGGAGGACACGACUUGAGAAGCAAAUGACCCAAGAAUUGAGCAAACCGAAACAUUUACUUUUAGAGAAGGAUGAAGAAAUAAGAGUGGUCAAACAACAAAUGCAAUAGACCUUGCGACACCUUAACCUUGAUCACGAUGAGGUUCCUCUUGUGCCUCCGACUAAUCCAAUAGGUGAUGGCCACAAUGAUGAGCGACAUGAUGAUGAUGACAUUGCUGACGAUGAUAAUGAUUUUGUCAGUCCUUGCUAGUUAAAAUUUCCAUUUUCAUAUCAUUAUAAUAUUUUUAAGCACUAAAUUUUGAGCACUAUGUAUUUCAUCAUCAUAUCAUUAUGUAUUUAAGCACUAAAUUUUGAUGUUAUUAAGUGCUUAAUCAAUGCUAAAUAAAAA
Molecule: long non-coding RNA, 3177 nt
Organism: Syzygium oleosum
Lineage: Eukaryota; Viridiplantae; Streptophyta; Magnoliopsida; Myrtales; Myrtaceae
Exons: 2
Source: RefSeq, a predicted model, not a curated record